AUGCUCUGGUUUCUCUUCACAAUGAACAAAUCUUUCGCCUUUUACUAAAGAUUUCCAUAGAGAGGAACAGUUAUGAGUUUAUAAUCAAAUUUUUAUGUCCUGCUUAGGCAGGGC
Molecule: small nuclear RNA, 114 nt
Organism: Saimiri boliviensis boliviensis (Bolivian squirrel monkey)
Lineage: Eukaryota; Metazoa; Chordata; Mammalia; Primates; Cebidae
Gene: U5
Rfam family: U5 spliceosomal RNA
About the family: U5 RNA is a component of both types of known spliceosome.
Source: Ensembl